UUUUCUAUCCUUGGCGCAUAGGGCCCUUUUGGGCUGUCCCACCAGCCCACCAAGGGCUGGUGCGCCACCCCUAGGGCCUAUGGGCUUCCCCGGGUGGGUUCGCCCCUCCCGGUGAACAUCCAGAACCCAUUCGUCACUCCCGGUACAUUCCCGGUAAUGCCCGAAAACCUUCCGGUAACCAAAUGAGGUCAUCCUAUAUAUCAAUCUUCGUCUGCGUACCAUUCCGAAAACCCUCGUCACGUCCAUGAUCACAUUCGGGA
RNAcentral lists this long non-coding RNA (260 nucleotides) under Hordeum vulgare. RNAcentral's name for it is "long non-coding RNA (HVUL_LNC001219)". Lineage: Eukaryota; Viridiplantae; Streptophyta; Magnoliopsida; Poales; Poaceae. The record is from RNAcentral.